CUGCCCUCGAUUAAAUAUUAAUAAGAAAAAUAGCACUACUAGGCACCACACACAUCUACAUAAAGCACAUUCAAUACAGUGAAAAUAAAAGCAUCACAGCAUAUAUCCAAGGCACACACAGCUGUGUUUUGGUAAUGCAGUGAAAGCACAUUAAGAAUAAGAUGAGGAGAGGAUAUACUUACGGGUUGC
This is a long non-coding RNA of Octopus sinensis (East Asian common octopus), 189 nucleotides long. RefSeq lists it as uncharacterized. The transcript is spliced from 3 exons. Lineage: Eukaryota; Metazoa; Mollusca; Cephalopoda; Octopoda; Octopodidae. The record is from RefSeq and is a predicted model, not a curated record.